UACGUGGGGGGCUAGCGUUGUCCGGAAUUAUUGGGCGUAAAGAGCUCGUAGGCGGUUUGUCACGUCUGCUGUGAAAACUGGAGGCUCAACCUCCAGCCUGCAGUGGGUACGGGCAGACUAGAGUGCGGUAGGGGAGAUUGGAAUUCCUGGUGUAGCGGUGGAAUGCGCAGAUAUCAGGAGGAACACCGAUGGCGAAGGCAGAUCUCUGGGCCGUAACUGACGCUGAGGAGCGAAAGCAUGGGGAGCGAACAGG
Molecule: ribosomal RNA, 253 nt
Filed under: uncultured bacterium
Lineage: Bacteria
Description: partial 16S ribosomal RNA
Rfam family: Bacterial small subunit ribosomal RNA
Source: RNAcentral